This 249-nucleotide ribosomal RNA is filed under the name uncultured soil bacterium. RNAcentral's name for it is "partial 16S ribosomal RNA". It matches the Rfam family "Bacterial small subunit ribosomal RNA", at positions 26 to 267 of the family's 1533-position model. The record is from RNAcentral.
AGAGUGAACGCUGGCGGUAGGCCUAACACAUGCAAGUCGAACGGCAGCACAGUAAGAGCUUGCUCUUAUGGGGUGGCGAGUGGCGGACGGGUGAGGAAUACAUCGGAAUCUACCCUUUCGUGGGGGAUAACGUAGGGAAACUUACGCUAAUACCGCAUAAGACCUUCGGGUGAAGGCCGGGGACCUUCGGGCCUGGCGCGGAUAGAUGAGCCGAUGUCGGAUUAGCUUGUUGGACGGGGUAAAAGCCCA